Long non-coding RNA from Symphalangus syndactylus (siamang), 468 nucleotides. RefSeq lists it as uncharacterized. The record is from RefSeq and is a predicted model, not a curated record. NCBI's taxonomy places the organism in Eukaryota, Metazoa, Chordata, Mammalia, Primates, Hylobatidae.
ACCCAGGGAUGGAAAAGACUCACUGUGCAGAUGGGAAAAUGGAGGCCCACAGAGGCCCAGCUCAUCAGAGGCAGAGCUGCGACCGGAUCUGGAGCCCUCUGACCCUGUGGAAGUGGCUGUGUUCUUCUCUCUCUUCUAAAUGGCCCAGUGGGGGAGUCCAAACCCAAGCCCAGAUGCACCAUCCUCGGGAGGUGAGGAAGAUGAGAGACCACAGUGAAGCUACAUUUCAGGCACACAGGCCGGCUGGGGUGGGGCCUGCCUUCCACCCACCCAGCCCUGCCCCCAAGAGGCCAAGAAGGGACUGAAGACUGGGGGACAACCUUCCUGGAGUCACACCAAGGGUGAGGAUAUAACCUGAAGUUUGCAGUCGGCAAUUCAGAAGAGCUCUCACCAAAGGCUGACAAUACUGGCAUCUUGAUAUUCAACUUCCAGACUCUGCAACUAUAAGAAAUAAAAUUUCAUUGCUUA